GUACCUACGGGACGCAGCAGUGGGGAAUAUUGCACAAUGGGGGAAACCCUGAUGCAGCGACGCCGCGUGAGUGAAGAAGUAUUUCGGUAUGUAAAGCUCUAUCAGCAGGGAAGAAAAAAGACGGUACCUGACUAAGAAGCCCCGGCUAACUACGUGCCAGCAGCCGCGGUAAUACGUAGGGGGCAAGCGUUAUCCGGAUUUACUGGGUGUAAAGGGAGCGUAGACGGGGCGUCAAGUCUGAAGUGAAAGCCCUGGGCUUAACACCG
RNAcentral lists this ribosomal RNA (266 nucleotides) under uncultured bacterium. RNAcentral describes it as "partial 16S ribosomal RNA". It matches the Rfam family "Bacterial small subunit ribosomal RNA", at positions 333 to 617 of the family's 1533-position model. The record is from RNAcentral.